This 1302-nucleotide ribosomal RNA is filed under the name Triticum aestivum (bread wheat). RNAcentral describes it as "partial small subunit ribosomal RNA". The record is from RNAcentral. Lineage: Eukaryota; Viridiplantae; Streptophyta; Magnoliopsida; Poales; Poaceae.
AUGAGAGGAGAGCUGAAUGGGUUGCAGUCUCUUUUUCUCAAGGUAUGCCCAUAUGCAUACUAUGUUCAUUGUUAUGCUCACAGAUUGCAGCUAGCACUAGUAGAUGCAUCCAAAGAGGUGGUUCCUGUUGCCCAGUUUUUUCAGAAGUUGAUCUUCAUUAUUAACACAGUCGACUCCUCAUCAAAACGCCAUGAUGAGCUCCAUGAUGCCCAAUUGGUAGAACUAGCACGUAUGAUAGAAAAUGGAAGCAUUCAGACUGGUCAAGGGGCAAAUCAGACUCGAUCACUUAAAAGACCCGGGGACACUAGGUGGGGUUCUCACUUUGGUUCUAUUCAUAGCCUUAUGAAGUUGUUUAAUGCGGUAAAUUUUGUUAUCCAAGAUAUGGCUUCAGAUGGAUCAGUAGUGGGAUCAAUACGUGCUGACACUUCUUUCAGCUAUUUGUCCUCAUUCGAGUUUGUCUUUAUCUUAUGUAUGAUGAAGGAGAUAUUAGGGAUAACUGAAGGACUUGGUCAGGCUUUACAAAAGAGGUCACAAGACAUUGUAAAUGUUGUUCGUCUAGUGUUUGCAACAAAAGAGUGUCUUCGUCAGUUGAGAUCGGACAAUGGCUGGGAGGAAUUCUUUUGCAUAGUUGUUGAAUUUUGUGUGAAUCAUGACACUAAAAUUCCAGACAUGAAGGAAACUUGUAUCAUGCGUGGUGGCCGUGCACGGCAUCAGCCUGAUCAUUUCACUAAGGAGCAAUAUUUCCGAGUCGAGAUAUUCCGUGCAACUCUUGACAGCCAACUACAUGAAUUGGAUCGCAGGUUCAAUGAGAAGAUGAUGGAUCUUCUGUCCACCAGUGCCACAUUAAUUCCUAGAAAUAAAUUUAAAUCUUUUAAAGGUAGUGAUAUAUGUGAGUUGGUGAAGAAGUAUUACCCAGCAGAUUUUAGUCAACAAGACGUGUAUGGCUUGGAAAACCAACUAAAACUCUUUGUUCCUGAUGCUUCCAGUGAUGUAGAGUUGAAAAAUAUAUCAAUAUUGACUGACCUUUGCCAACUCCUUGUUGAGACUGGAAGAGAUAGAAUCUACCAUCUAAUUGACAGGCUACUUCGUCUACUUGUUACUUUUCCAGUUUCUAUAGCUAGUGCUGAACGAGCAUUUUCCAGUUUGAAGAUCAUCAAAACAAGGCUGCGUAAUACAAUGAAAGAUGAGAAUCUUGCCAAUAACUUGGUUGUUCACAUAGAGCGUGAAAUCGCAGAGAAAUACACGUUUGAGGACAUUUUAGCAGAAUUCAAAAGCAUAAGUGAUCGAAAAGCUGAUCUGUAG